UACGUAGGGGGCUAGCGUUGUCCGGAAUCAUUGGGCGUAAAGCGCGUGUAGGCGGUCCGGUAAGUCCGCUGUGAAAGUCGGGGGCUCAACCCUCGGAUGCCGGUGGAUACUGUCGGGCUUGAGUACGGAAGAGGCGAGUGGAAUUCCUGGUGUAGCGGUGGAAUGCGCAGAUAUCAGGAGGAACACCGAUAGCGAAGGCAGCUCGCUGGGACGGUACUGACGCUGAGGUGCGAAAGCGUGGGGAGCGAACAGG
This 253-nucleotide ribosomal RNA is filed under the name uncultured bacterium. RNAcentral's name for it is "partial 16S ribosomal RNA". It matches the Rfam family "Bacterial small subunit ribosomal RNA", at positions 524 to 776 of the family's 1533-position model. The record is from RNAcentral.